CGACGUCAUCGGCUCCACGGUUUCUUGUGUACUUUUAAACAACAGAUUCGGGGUACGCGGUCUUCAUUUAUCCGCCUAGGCUCGGCUAGACGCGCUGCUGGUAACACCCGCCUUGAAAGUCUGCUGUCACACGGAAACCUGCGACAACCACACCUUAAACAACUGGGAGUAACGUUUUUCUUACCGGAAGCCCGGCGACAGUCAAAAGACUCCCUGGACUGUUUCCCCUGUGGCGAGAGUUGGAGAGAGAAACUGGUCUCGUGUGUGGAUUGUUUGAAGUGGAACGAGUGCUUUCCCCCUGGAGCCCUGUCCCCGCAUCUUUUGUAUAUACACCCGGUGGACAGAUGUGAGGCAGACUUGCGUUUCAGGAGCUGCUACCGACAAACCAGCAAAAAAACACCAAAUGUGUCAUCUGUGACAUUUGUGAGGUUAUCUCAAACACACUCCGUCAGUCUUGUUGCUGUUGAACAACACAAUGCUUAAAAAUGUCGCGAGUUUACCUGGUGAUAUUCUCAUGCGCGAGGGGAUCACGAAAACUGCAAACAAAUAACACCCCGCCGAUGCUGUUCACAGGACAGCAAGAGUAAAUGAUCGGGAGAAUCUUGUCGUUAUCGUUCCCCUCGUACGUUUCAUUACUCAGAUUUCAGUGUUUUCGCUUCACAACAUGCAGUUUACUUUUUGUGUUCACUCAAAUGAAGUCGAGUCAACCAGCGCCACUUGUGGCCAAGUGCCAUAGCCUACCUACAGCCAGAUUAACUUGUGACACACAUCUGCACCACGUUUGAAUUCUUUUCAUGACAAUAACUUUCUAUUGUGUUUGUUUGUGCGUCGUGCAAAUAAACCUUUGAACUGAAUGAAAUGAUAUCAUGUAUUUAUUUUUGGCCUACAUCAAUAAGAAAUGCCAAAUUAUAUACACAAAGUUAUAGAAAUCACCACUCAUCAUGAUUUUAAUAUUUUUGUUUUCCAUAACAAUGAAAUACGCCUUGAACAAAUAUCACACAUCAAUAUUUUGUCACAUCACAUCCUGUAAGCAUAGUCUGUGUCUUUUCUCUGGAGAUGAACAUUUUCAGCCAAUAUAGGUAAUUCAUCAACAUGGCUGGAGAGAGUUGGUAGUUAUAUACAGUCUGUAUAAGUGUGGUUAAUCUAAUAAAUAUUUGUAAGGAGAUUAGUGUGAAUGUGCAGUUAGUGUGAAUUUACAGCAGUUACAGUGAUUAGUUAUAAACAGAGCCAGUGUGAUUGAGCGGAUUUAAGAAAAUGAGUGCCUCAGGUGUGUUGAUUGGUUUGUCGUGUGCUUUUGAGUCUAGAGGAGAGUUAGAAAUCUUUUGUUUUAAAUCUAAGUUAGGAAGAUUCAUGAUUUAAUUUCCAAAAUUGCACAUGAUCAAUUUCAAUCCAUCCAAUUUGUAGCAGAUCCACUAUCACAUAGCAGCUGGACCAGUCUCAAAUGAGGUCAGUCCACUACUGCCACCUGUGGCCAAGUGCCAUAGCUUACUACUAGAUGAACUUGUGACACAUCUGCACCUGCUUCUAUGGCCACAUUGAGAAGAGGCUGAAUGGCUGCACUUACUCCUGAUGCAUUCAAAUCGACCCACAAACAUGUUGAAAGAUGCAAUGCCAGCAAUGUGGAUUGUCAAGACUAAAACCAAUCAUUAAGCAAAGAAAACAGGGAUCAUAAUGUUUUUGAGAGAGGCACUGGGGCCGAAGCAGCUGCUCACCGGCUAUUAAAUUUAAAGCAGGGAAGACGGAGUAUGGCAGACUACUGUUAAAUUUUGGACCUUGGAAAGCAAAAUCCCGGCUUGAGAGUAACAUCUUGAUCCUCUGUUGUGGUGCAGGAGGUGCUUUUGAGGCAAGGAACUAAAAGUUCGCUCACUUUGAGGUGAAAUGUGCAUCUUAUUGUAUGGUCUUGUUAAAAAGAUGAACAUUCAGGAGUUUCUGUAUUUCUGCCCUGUUCUUGUAACUGCGUCUGAGAAAGGACAUGAAAACAGUAAGAAGACUAAUGCUUAGUAACUGCAUUCAUAUUUAGUGAUCGGAGAAAUUUAAAAUAAAAAAAACACGAAUAUAAUUUUAACCUAAAUUUAUACAGUGCUUCAAAUCCUAAUGUUAAAAAUGUGUAAUUUUAAUUUUAUGAGCCCAGAAUAUAAAAGAUAGGAGAGGAAAAUAGGGAAUCUGGAUUAUAAUUAUAAUUGAAAUUAAAAGUCUCAUUUCCAAGAGAGACCUGGCAUCAUGGCAGGAAAUUCAGAAAUACAUGCACCACAUAAGUACAUAACAGUUUUUCUAUUGGAUCAGACCGUCACAGUCCUGAUGCAUGAGACGUCAAUGUUUCAUUCUCUUCACCCACGCUACAGGUGGCGCUACUUCUCUUGACCAGAACCGAAGAAACUCUGUACUUCCAACAUGAUUAUUAAACACACAUAAGUUGACUCACGGUUUAACAUCUCUUUUCCACCACAGCAAAAACUGCAACAUGGGGCGGGGAGUCAUCACAGUGGUGGUCCCAGAAGGAAGAGACGCCAUCUUACCCUGCUCCCAGAAGAGUUGAAGCUUGGUAACGCCUCCAUAGUCAAACACCAAGCUGGUCGACAGUGGAGACUACUCCUGUAUUAUUCCAAAUCUUCAGCCAAAGGAACAAAGUUUCAACAUUAAACUCAUCGUUGAACGUGUCUUUAAGGACCGAUCAGGUGUCGUCACAGGUGCUUUUCCAAAGCCUUCGGUGAAGUGGAAGGACAGCGAUGGAAACAUCCUUCCCGCUGAGGAGCCGCACGUGUCGUACAGAGGAGACCACUACUAGGUCACCCUCCUCAUCACUGUGACCAAGACAGACACCAACGUCUCCCGCUGUGUAGCCACACAGCAGGAGAUCAGCCAUGUGACUGAUGAUGAGAUCUACGUGCCUCACUGUGGGAAAAAGCUGAGAACUGCUGUGGAGCUGGUGUGGUUGUAGCAGCAUUUUGUGGUGGAGUUCUGAUUACUGCAGUUCUGUUUGUAGUUAUAAAGUACAUUAGAAGAUGGCAGAGAGGUGAGAAUAAUAAUGGAUUUCAUAUUUAGCAUUUAUUUUGACAUAAUGUAUGUAUGAGGUGUAAAAUUGUCGAUAUUUUAUGGAUGAAUCUUUUGGUUUUAAACAUUUUUUCAUGACGGCUCUGGAUUGGCUGCAGAUUGCAAACACCAAAUUCUUUUUUACAGCAGGUAGUUUUAGGCAUAUUUAUCUCAUUUUUCCAGCUAACAGGAGAAGAGGGAGUGUUUCUUUUUUCUUCUUUUUAAAAAAAACAAAACUCUGAGUUAUCUGUUUUCUGCAGAUGUAGAUUAAUAAACUGUAAACUGAGGUACAAGAAGACAUUUAAGGUGAUGUUAGUGCUGAGCGAUUGUCUCCACAGUCUGACCGUCUUAUCGUCCUGCUGUAUGAUCACUAAUGCUGUGUCCCAUCAGCACCAGGGGCAGGUUUGUGGGGGUGAUGGGCUUAACAUGCAGUCAGUUAAGCAGCACUGGACACUCUUCAAGUGAACAGAGAUCUCACCUGACCCACAACAGUGAGUUCAGAAACUCGCUGCUAUUUCAUCUCCAUGUGUUAAACUCCAAAAGCUCAGGGACUCAAACCACAGACAACAGUAACACUGAGAAAUCAUGAGAAACUGUGGGCUGUGGAUUCACCACACAGUGCCUUAAAAUCAGCAGAACAUGAAGCUGUAACACUCAAAGGCUGCUUAUGAAAUGUGGUAGUGAUGGCAGCUGUUUGUUUUCUUUGAAAAUGGUUUAAAGUCGAUGAUUGGUGAUUGAUCAGGCCCUGAGAGUGACAAAGAUUUGAGUGAAGGAGAUGCCACACAAGUAACAGAUUCUACUUUUAUAGAUCUGAGAGGGUUUAAACAUGAGUGCAGCAGAGAGUCUUCAUCCAAGGGAACCAGAUUGUACAUAAUUUAAAAAGCUUUAAAAGGUGGAGACAAAAUCAGCUGCUUUUCGUUCUUACAGUAUCACUCAGCUUCUCAAUUUGUAUGAGCCAGACGCAGCUCAAAGCUGUAAAACUGCUGUGAUUGUAUUUUAGAUUGAACACAUUCAUCAUCAGAUUCUCUUUUUAUUUCUGCUUUAACCUCCUAGGACCUGGCGUCCACAUAUGGGGACAUCACAUUUUGGGUUGUCUAGACCACAAUACUAAAUUUUGCUCUUUCAGAUGGCUUUCAAAUGAGCCAUAUUGCUCAAACAGGCACAAUUGUUCUUUCUCAUUUUGUUUUUGUACUCAGGAAAAAUGCUGCAGUGUUCAGACACCAAAUAAAGAGUUUUGCACAUCAUUUCUCAAUUGUGACUUUGUAGUGUUCUAUAGAACACUACAAAGUCACAAUUGCAAAGAGAAAUUAAAAAUGCAUGCCAUGAAAGAGUUCGGGUCUUAGGAGAUUAAUUUGUUUUUCGUGUUCAUGUUGAGUAAGCUUGUUUGAGGAGAGUUUGUCUGUAUUUGUAAAAGUGACUUUAAAAAGAUUCUAAGCAAUAAAAAUGGUGACUUCCAGAAUUAUGUUUGUACUGUUAAAGCUGAUGAUGCUAAUGAAAUACUUGUAUUUAAAAGUGAUGCUACAAUUAAUAAGCUGAUUAUAUUUUACCGUGUGUUUUAUUUAUAUUAUGUUUUGACUACUGAAUUAAUAGGAACGAUCUAAAUCAUGACGUAAACAUUUUGUAUCCGAGCUUUUAAAA
This is an RNA transcript of Oreochromis niloticus (Nile tilapia), 4668 nucleotides long. RefSeq lists it as uncharacterized. The record is from RefSeq and is a predicted model, not a curated record. The transcript is spliced from 6 exons. NCBI's taxonomy places the organism in Eukaryota, Metazoa, Chordata, Actinopteri, Cichliformes, Cichlidae.